AUGACGUCAAAUCAUCAUGCCCCUUAUGACCUGGGCUACACACGUGCUACAAUGGAUGGUACAACGAGUCGCAAGGUCGCGAGGCCAAGCUAAUCUCUUAAAGCCAUUCUCAGUUCGGAUUGUAGGCUGCAACUCGCCUACAUGAAGCCGGAAUCGCUAGUAAUCGCGGAUCAGAACGCCGCGGUGAAUACGUUC
This 195-nucleotide ribosomal RNA is filed under the name Carnobacterium maltaromaticum. RNAcentral describes it as "partial 16S ribosomal RNA". It matches the Rfam family "Bacterial small subunit ribosomal RNA", at positions 1179 to 1373 of the family's 1533-position model. The record is from RNAcentral. Lineage: Bacteria; Bacillati; Bacillota; Bacilli; Lactobacillales; Carnobacteriaceae.